Transfer RNA from Aspergillus wentii DTO 134E9, 78 nucleotides. It matches the Rfam family "tRNA". Rfam says of the family: Transfer RNA (tRNA) molecules are approximately 80 nucleotides in length. Their secondary structure includes four short double-helical elements and three loops (D, anti-codon, and T loops). Further hydrogen bonds mediate the characteristic L-shaped molecular structure. tRNAs have two regions of fundamental functional importance: the anti-codon, which is responsible for specific mRNA codon recognition, and the 3' end, to which the tRNAs corresponding amino acid is attached (by aminoacyl-tRNA synthetases). tRNAs cope with the degeneracy of the genetic code in two manners: having more than one tRNA (with a specific anti-codon) for a particular amino acid; and 'wobble' base-pairing, i.e. permitting non-standard base-pairing at the 3rd anti-codon position. The record is from Rfam. Lineage: Eukaryota; Fungi; Ascomycota; Eurotiomycetes; Eurotiales; Aspergillaceae.
GCGCGAGUUGUCUAGUGGUUUAUGACGUCGCACUCGUAAGAAAUGCGGAGGUCGGGAGUUCGAAUCUCCCUUCGCGCU